Molecule: long non-coding RNA, 5262 nt
Organism: Trichechus manatus latirostris (Florida manatee)
Lineage: Eukaryota; Metazoa; Chordata; Mammalia; Sirenia; Trichechidae
Exons: 3
Source: RefSeq, a predicted model, not a curated record
UUAAUAAGACACUAUUUGUUCUGUAAACCUUCAUCUAAAGUACAAUAAAAAAAAUUUUUUUUUUUUAAAAAGCCUUCCUUCUUCUGCUCUCUGCAGCUGGUGGCUUGCAAGUCAUUUCUAGGGCUUCUUUGGUCAGACAGCUUUUGCUUCCAGCCCUAAUACAUGCUGCUAGGCAUCCUCUUCACCUCACUCAAGGGGUGAGAGGGCAAGAAGCUGCAGAGUAUCCAAGUCCACCCGAACCCUUAUCAUUCCAUCUUCCCAUGCCCUCCCCUAUCAUACAGCCCACUAACUACCCUAGAGUUGUGGCUGGUUUAUUGAUGCGAGUCUGCUACAUUUUACAUGCCUGUAUCUGCUUUAUCUCCUCCUCAAAUUCUAAGUUUUCUGAAAGUAUGGAUGAAAUCUUAUCUCCCACCCCCAUCCACACCCUCAACUCUGUACCGGACCACAGUCAAUUCAAACAAUAUUGUUUAGGUUUAAAAGUUAAAAAGGGAGAGGGAAUAUAGAGCGGAGCUUGGCUUAGGGCUAAAAGUAGAAUGACCCUACAUUUUACAGCUGGCAUCCUGAUACUCUUGAGAACAAAGGGGGCGCUAUUCACAACCAGCAGAGACAACGGAUUAAACUAGGUUUGCCCCAGGGAAAACAGGCAAAGGGUCACCCUUGCUAGAGAGAUCAUUCCAUGUAGAUGUGAGUUACACGGGAGCUGCAAGAGGGGCGUCCAAGCCCCUUCAGUUCCUGUAGGUGCAGUCUGAGGGAUCUGCACCAGACAGAGAUUGUGACAGAAAGCCCAGUACCAGGAAGUUCUUCUUUCUAUCUAACCAAACCCUCAGAUAUCCAAGUCAAUCCCACUUUUUAUUAGCCUCAGGGCAACAGAGAACAAUGGCUCAGGAAGGCAACCAGGGAAAUCGUCAGCUUGGGUAGGGAUUCCUCAUUAAGAGUUCGACUGCUAGUUCUUCUUUCACAACUGAACCAAACUCAAUCUGGCUGGCCCAGAAACAUAAACGCCGGGGUUUUUGGGGUCUCUCCCAAUGAGAGCAGAGUUCAUCUCUAACUUGCCCCAAAUCCCCCGACGCUUUCACAAACCCAAUCCAAGGUAGAAAUGGCACCUGUGUACAUACUCCUGAGACCAGGAAAAUCUUCCCUCCGCCAAUAGAAGAGCUGGGGGACCCUGAGCCCUGGGAGGGGGUUGUCUUCUACCACUCGCCACUCCCAGCCCCUAGCAAGCUGAGUCAAGCCCCCAGCCGCACUGGGCUGACUGCAAAGACUCAGGGAACAAGGGAACCUCUCUUCCUCUCUCCCCCACCCUCCAUGAGCUGGUGUUCCUGUGGAGACCAAGGACCUUGCUGACUUCUUUUCAACAAUACAAAAAAGAAGUUUCUGAGAGGGUACAGGGGCAUCCGGGGGAAAGGGAACAAGGAUCUGGGCUCAAGAGGGACCAGCAGUCCCUGCUGACCUGCACAUUCUCAGGCCCUAGGGCUGAUAGUGGAAGAAGUCAAAUGCUCCCACACACUCCCACCACCCCUCCCCUUUUCUUAACCAUAUACAUUUUACUUUAGAAAGGAGGUAUUUCAGAAGCACUGCAUAAAGACAGGGUGACUCUCUGAUCACUCAAAGGUCACUGAGACUUCAGACAAUGCACACAAAAACUGUUUCUACAUCAACAAAAUGACAGAACGGGAUCAGGUGGUUUAUAAGGUUCUUCCUGGCCCCAGGGUUUAACAUAUGACUCUAUACAUUUCCUGAAGAAAUGGGUAAGGGAAAGCCAGUGAAGAGAAGCAGAGCUCAGCCCAGUCUUUUAAUAUCUACUUUGAACAAUUUGACUCUAGGAAAUGUCCCUGUUUUCCUCCCCCACUGACCUUCCAGUUUUGCUGAUGUCUAUCUCAACCUCAGGGCCAGGAGCCUCAUGAGGCAAUAAAACGGCCAAAUUAAUUUUGCUAAUGCUGAUACUAACCUCUAAACUCAGUUUGCAAUACCUAGCAAUAAGUCUGGCCAUAAAAGUGAAAUUCACAUUACUUGGUGAAAUUCUUGUUACCUAUGAGCUAAUAAUAGGAGCCCUGGUGGUGCAGUCCUUAAAGCACUCGGCUGCUAAGCAAAAGGUCGGCAGUUCAAACCCACCAGCCACUCUGCAGGAGAAAUAUGUGGCAGCCUGCUCCUGUGAAGAUUUACAGCUUUGGAAACCCUAUCAGGUAGUUCUACUCUGUCCUACAGGGUCGCUAUGAGUUGGAAUCUACUGAAUGGCAGUGGGUUUGGUUUGGUUAUGAGCUAAUAAACUCAUUGCCUGGAUGAAAAUAAAUCUCUUACUGAAUAAUUAUGCCCCCCAAAUUCUUGCAGUCUUUUCAAUCAAAUCCCCAAGUGCCAUGGGGGAUAUUUCUGUCCAAAACAAAGUCCGUAUCUUGAAGUGGGGAGGGGGAGGAAUGGAUAGAAUCUCCCACCCCAAAACACACAGACACAAAUUUAGCCCUUAAACCCCCGCCCCCGCCCCAACACACACACACACUCCUCUUGCUUUUACUAUAUACCAGGAUAGCCGACAAGCUUUUAGGUUUGCCCACCUAUUACUGCGGUUGGAAAUGGUUAGUGUGGAAACCCCCUCCUCUUUCUGUUCUGUAUAAGUGUACCGCAACUGCAGGGUGCUUGCUUCCACUGCCAACUGAUGAUACACUAAAGAAAGCCGUUUUUAUCCAGAUGUAAAAUGAAGCUGCACUCCUCCCAAACCUGCCGGAAAGUAGACCGGUCUGCACACACCCAGGGGAAAUAUGCACUGCACCCCGCGAGUUACCUGGUAUACGUUCGCUAAAAUCGACAGGAAGAAGUUAGAAUCUUAUAUGGCACCUCAAAAUACAAAACAGAUAAAGGCAUAUCUUCAGGCUGUGUUGCAAAGAUGCAAGAAAUGAGACUCAGGGAUAGAGACCAGAGCAGAGGGAAAGAAGCAGUGAACAGAGUAUUAUCUAAGGAAGGCAGAGCUGAGCAAAUCAUUACAGUGAAGCAUCUGGGUCAAGGUGAGCUGUACCAGAUCACAGGCAAGAAGAGAAAAAAGGAUGGGCCACUUGUGCCUAACACCUGCCUCAAGUGGUGUCCAAGCAAGAAUAAAGAAGAAAAUUAUGAACUCAGUUAACAUGUUGACACUUUCCUGCCCCGUACCUGAGAGCCUGAACAAACACACCUGUUCCAGCAUCCCUUCUCAUUGUCUAUGCAACAUCCGCUUUCACUUUGCAGGAGCCUAGAAAAAGGAACUGGGUUUUCUGGCCUUUGCUCAAGCUGUAACCUUUCAGGCUUACGUCAGGACAGGUGUCUGUUGAGCAGAUGGGGUUGUGAUAUUUCCUGAGAAGAGGAAGUCUCUGGCCAGAACAACAAGCAGCACCACCCCUGAGGUCAGAGUCAGGUGUGAACACUGUGCCGUUGUCUGAGUCUCAAGGGCCCCUCAGUGCUCUGUACUUCAGCCUUUGUGCUGGCAUGAAGGGGACAAAAGCUGUGGGCUGAUCCACAUUUGGGUCAGAGGACUAUUUGAAUUUAGGUGAUGGGGAGAGAGAUUGAGAGGAUUAAAAUAGACUAAGACACUGACAAGUACUUAGGCUGGUACAGGUAUACACACUUAGUAGAGAUUCCCCAGAUCCAGAAGCUGGUUCUCAGUUUGGCAGGUUCAGACAGCCGUUUUACCAAAGCACGUGCAUUGAUCUGGGUUUGUCAAUUUCCUGGAUAACUUCCAUCUGCCUUUAAGACAUUUUCCAUCCUAUUUCACCCCCUCUGUGCUCCAGGAAGCUGGCCUGUAUGGUCUACAUCAAGAGGGUCUCUGACACUCUGGCUUCCAGUUGGCUUUUGCCCACUGGAGGCACUGGCAGGACAUCAUAGUAUGGUAAAAAAGUGAGGUCAGGGUGUUUAUUUCCCCUGGACCUUCCAGGUUAGCCAUGUCCCUCUGCUGAAGUCCCAGGCUACAAUCCGGCAUCCCUCUUCCACACAGAUGCCCGCUCUGGGUUCCAGCAACUGCUCCUUCCCUUUGUCCCUUCAAGCCUAGGGGUGGCAUGAGUUUCCCGCACUGUUAUUUGCCUAGGAUGUUGCAUUAUCCCUUGUAAAUAUCUGGUUUGCCUGUGCCAUGUGUUUACUGUCACAACCUAAUAUUCGGUCAACAUCUGCCAAACUGAAGGCUUUGAAAUUAAGAUCAGAAUAACUGUCCCCAAAGCAAGUUUGUCCACUGCCUGUGAUUUUAUCCUUUUACUUUAUUAGUUUGGAUUGCAAACAGAAUGCUCAAAAGCUCUUAAUUUUGAACUAUAUACUACUGUGUACUACACCUGCAAUUUGAAUAAGCUGUCUUAAGAUGAAUGGUAGUACCUGGGUUAUGUUGUUCUCGUUGUUAGCUGCCGUUGAGUCAGCCCCCAAAUCAUGGCACCACAUUCACAAGAGAACAAGUCCUACGCCACUCCCAUGGUCCGUUGCAGAUCAGAUCACUACGAUCCAUAGGGUUUUCAUUGACUGAUUUUCCAAAGUAGAUUGCCAGGUCUUUCUUCCUAGUCUGUCUUAGUCUGGAAGCUCGGCUGAAAUCUCCUCAGCAUUAUAGCAAUACACAAGCCUCCACUGAAGGAUGAGUGGUGCCUGCGCAUGAGCUGCAUUGGCCAAGAAUCAAACUUGGAUCUCUUGCAUGGAAGGUGAGAAUUCUACCACUGAACCAUCAAGCCUUCACCUGGGUUAUAACCUUGUUAAAUAUAUAUAGGUGUUACAUAUGCUUGCUUUUUCACUCAAUUAUAUGAGAAUAUGAAACUAAAAUUGUACUAAAACAGUAAGAUAUUAACCAAAUAUUGAUAGGCUAUAGUAUGGUAACUCAGAGCACACACUUUAAAGUUAGACAGAUGGAGACUCAAAUCUACCACUUAUUAAGUGUGCUGCCUUUGGACAGUUACUUAACCUCUCUAAGUCUUGAUUUUCUCAUCCCUAAAAUUGUGAUAAUAAGUGUACCUUCUUGUUAUGGUUGUGAAGGUUAAAUGAGAUAACGUACAUAAAAUACGAGUACAGUGAGCCCUGGGAAAAUGUCAGUUAUCAUUAUCAGUAAAAUAUUAUUAAAAUGAUGAUAUGUUUUAAUGUAAAUUAUCUCAUAGGCUUGUUAAGAGAGUUAAAUACAGUACAUUAAUAUUUUUAAACUGCUUAGAGCAGUACUUGGAACAUAGUUAAAAGCUUUGUAAGUGUAAAUUAAAAAAGCCUAGCUUUUUCUGACCCAUAGCAUCCCAUGUGUGUCAGACUAGAACUGUGCUCCAUAGAGUUUUCAAUGGCUGUGGC